CACGGUGGUCUAGCGGUUAGAACGCUGGCCUUGUAAUCCUGGGGUCUCGGGUUCGAUUCCCGGCGGUG
Zootermopsis nevadensis is the source of this 68-nucleotide non-coding RNA. The record is from Rfam. Lineage: Eukaryota; Metazoa; Arthropoda; Insecta; Blattodea; Termopsidae.